AGGGCACCACCAGGAGUGGAGCCUGCGGCUUAAUUUGACUCAACACGGGAAAACUUACCCGGCCCGGACACUGGAAGGAUUGACAGAUUGAGAGCUCUUUCCUGAUUCAGUGGGUGGUGGUGCAUGGCCGUUCUUAGUUGGUGGAGCGAUUUGUCUGGUUAAUUCCGAUAACGAACGAGACUCUAGCCUACUAAAUAGACUGUUCAGCUUUAUAGCCGGAAUCACCGGGCAUGUAGCUUUCGGGUUGCGUGUUCGGCUCUGGUGACGUUGGCAGUGCUUCUUAGAGGGACAGGCGGCGGUUCAGCCGCACGAAACAGAGCAAUAACAGGUCUGUGAUGCCCUUAGAUGUCCGGGGCUGCACGCGCGCUACACUGAAGUGAUCAGCGUGCAAUUUACGUUUGGUGAUCUGUCAAGAUUGCCCAACCCGUUGAACCUUCUUCGUGAUUGGGAUAGGGGAUUGUAAUUAUUCCCCUUGAACGAGGAAUUCCCAGUAAGCGCAAGUCAUAAGCUUGCGUCGAU
RNAcentral lists this ribosomal RNA (519 nucleotides) under uncultured eukaryote. Its description in RNAcentral is "bacterial SSU rRNA". It matches the Rfam family "Eukaryotic small subunit ribosomal RNA", at positions 1161 to 1645 of the family's 1831-position model. The record is from RNAcentral.